Molecule: ribosomal RNA, 358 nt
Filed under: Opetia nigra
Lineage: Eukaryota; Metazoa; Arthropoda; Insecta; Diptera; Platypezidae
Description: partial 12S ribosomal RNA
Source: RNAcentral
AAUUAUAAAAAUAUUACUUAAGUAGUAUUAGAUAUAUUCUUUAAACAAAAAAAAUUUGGCGGUAUUUUAAUCUAUUCAGAGGAACCUGUUCUGUAAUCGAUAGUCCUCGUUAAAUCUUACUUAAUUUAGUAUUUUUAAUCAGUAUGUAUAUCGUCGUUAUUAGAAUAUUUUAUAAGAAUAAUAAAUUUUCAAUAGUUUUUAUAUAAAUUAAUAUCAGAUCAAGGUGCAGCUUAUAUUUAAGUAGAAAUGGGUUACAAUAAAUUUAUUUAAUAAUAUUGGAUUUAAAAAUGUAACUUUUUAAUAAAAAUGGAUUUGAUAGUAAAUUUUAUUUUUAUAGUUUAAAAUUGAUGAUAGUUCU